This 454-nucleotide ribosomal RNA is filed under the name uncultured Bacteroidota bacterium. RNAcentral describes it as "bacterial SSU rRNA". It matches the Rfam family "Bacterial small subunit ribosomal RNA", at positions 377 to 828 of the family's 1533-position model. Lineage: Bacteria; Pseudomonadati; Bacteroidota. The record is from RNAcentral.
GCAAGCCUGAUCCAGCCAUGCCGCGUGCAGGAUGACGGCCCUAUGGGUUGUAAACUGCUUUUGUACAGGAAGAAACACUCCCACGUGUGGGAGCUUGACGGUACUGUAAGAAUAAGGAUCGGCUAACUCCGUGCCAGCAGCCGCGGUAAUACGGAGGAUCCAAGCGUUAUCCGGAWUCAUUGGGUUUAAAGGGUCCGUAGGCGGUUUAAUAAGUCAGUGGUGAAAGCCCNCCGCUCAACGGUGGAACGGCCAUUGAUACUGUUAGACUUGAAUUAUUAGGAAGUAACUAGAAUAUGUAGUGUAGCGGUGAAAUGCUUAGAUAUUACAUGGAAUACCAAUUGCGAAGGCAGGUUACUACUAAUKGAUUGACGCUGAUGGACGAAAGCGUGGGUAGCGAACAGGAUUAGAUACCCUGGUAGUCCACGCCGUAAACGAUGGAUACUAGCUGUUGGGA